CUGUGUAACAAACUGCCAUGCUGAGCCUUUAAGGGGCGGGGCUUAGAGCAGCUGCAGCAUGCAGACGAAGAAAGAGAAAAAAAAGAGUAGAGUGAAAGAGAGUAUAGUUUAUGUUCGCAUUUUGUUUAUUUUAACUUGCUGUUUGCCGUUUAUUGUUACUCCUUGAUGUGUGUGCGUGGAAAUACAAGUAAGUGAUGUUACAUAUUAAUAAUAUUGUUUAUUUAGCAGAGUAUUUUAGUUUUACCCUUAAUUAAUAGCAUGCUCUGUUCACGUGCACACUUGAGAGUUAUACACGGUGGAUUUUGUUUGUGUCGUGUAUUUAUGUAGAAAUGUGCAGUUAUGCAGUAUGUGUGAUGCUACUUCAGUCAGUUUAUUCAGACAUUGACGCUGUAUUGUUGUUUAAUUUCAGGAACCACACACAAUUACCUAAAUAAACCGCAAGUACGAGUUGAAUCACCUGGAGUACGACUCUGCGUUCUUUGGAGUUCUGACCGACUCACCACAGUGUUCUGCAUAGUCACACCAGCAAAAACAACCCCUAAUUUUCAAUGGUCCUUCGAGCCGGAUAGCAGACUACUGUUUAAAAGAUGCAGAAUUCAGAGUCAAAGGCAUUGGACACUCGACCCAAACGACGAAUGUCAGUUCCUUCAUACCUGUCAGAUUAUGACCUAAGUGGACCUGGAGCUCAUAGUAGAUCCCGGACAGCAGCUGCAGGGGAACCAUCAGAUGAGCAAAGCGGACUAGAGCGUCCAACUGCCAGAUCUCCAUCACCACCCAUUAGCCAGAGCUUCGACAUGAUGGAUUUGAGGGAUGAUAUGGAGCAAGAACGAGAGCUUUGUCAAUCUAUGGAGCAAGUCACCGGGGAGCAGCAGACCAGCCAAGUUCCAGAGUUUAGUGCUGCUCUCGAAGAGAUGCGCCAAGAAAACGCUGAGCUUCGUAAACAGUUUCAGAGCCUGAUGGUUGCUUUACAGUCCCAGCCAGCCGCCCAUCAGUCUCUGUUCCCACCUCCUCCACCUCAAAGUGUGUACAGCGGUGGUUAUGGACCUUACCAACCCCCUACCAAUUCUCCAGCAUACCAGCAGCUACAAUAUCCAACAUUCAGCUCCCGAAGAAACCUGCCAUUAGAUUUCACUAAUCCUAGAGUUUCCCAAACAUCUGGUGGUCUGCCUCAUAGCCUAUAUUACGCAGACACACCACAGCAGAGCGCACCUUCCUAUUCACAUAGAGAUUCUUCAUUUGUCCAAGUUCCCAGCUUUAAUGAGCCACAGAGAGAGACCACAUACAGGGGGCCAAAGCCCACUAUCCCCAGAUUUACAUCACCAGAUCCCAGAGAGUUUGCACGCAUGAAGAUUGCCUUAGAGAAUCUAUUACCAGGCGAUGCUACUGAAAGAUACAAAUACCAGAUCCUCACUGAUCAUCUCCAGUGUGAAGAAGCUUCACUUGUAGCAGACUCCUACUGCAACUCAAGGCAACCUUACACUGAUACAAUGUUGGCUCUCACGAAGAUGUAUGGACAGCCCCACAAGCUUGCAGUGCAACGGAUUGCAGAGUUAAUGGAUGGUCCAAAUAUACGCUGUGGUGAUGUGAAGAGCUUUCGUCUGUUUGCCCUCAACGUGCGGUCACUAGUAGGCAUGUUGGAACAACUGGGGCAGAGAGGUCAAAUCGAGUUAGUCUGUGGCUCUCAUGUUUCAAGACUCUUAAGUAAACUUCCCUAUGACCUCAAUGCCAGCUUUAAGAGAUUUAUCCAUCCCCUGAGAGUAGCCAUUCCUACCCUCAUUGACUUUGCUGAUUGGCUAGAAUAUGAGCUGGAAGUUCAGGAAGACAGCAUGAAGCCCCCGAGGAGAGAGGAGUCGUUUAACAAGAAGCCUGAUACCAAGCGCACUUCCAAACUCUCAAGUAAGACUGCUACUAUCCUCCUGGGUACUGAGAAGGUAUCUGGAUCAAAUAGUGUAGCAGCACCACCUACACCUGGAUAUGUUGUCAACAAGUCAAAGGGAAUAGAGAAGUUUACGGCUUACUGUCCCUAUUGUGACAACGACAAGCACUUCCUGAACAACUGUUCUAACUUUAAGACCUUGAGCAAAGAACAGAAGGUGACAUGGAUUAAAACGAAUAAUAAGUGUUGGCGUUGUGGACGUAAUCACCAAGCGGCAAAGUGUACACUUAAAGCUCCCUGCAAAACCUGUGGUAGGAGACAUCUGCUAGUGCUGCAUGAGGUGAAUGAGAGAGCAGAGGAGGAACCAACAUCAGUUUCACCUUCAGCAGAAAGUUGCCUUGUUAACUCUGCCAAUAAAGUCAUGUAUGUUGACCGACCAGUUUACAACUGCAAGGUGCUACUGAAGAUCAGUAAGGUAGUCCUGAGAAAUGGUGACAAGUCCCUUGAGACGUAUGCCGUCUUAGACGAUGGCUCUGAGCGGACAAUCCUGCUUCAGCCUGCUGCCAAACAGUUGGGCCUUAAAGGAAGCAAAGAGGUGUUAGCUCUUCGUACAGUCAGACAAGAAGUGGAGAAGCUCCACGGGGCGGCUGUGUCUUUCACAAUUUCCCCAGCAGCCAACCCUGACAAAGUGUACAGCAUCCAGAAUGCCUUUACAGCCGAGCAACUGAGUUUAGCAGAGCAUUCCCAUCCAGUUGUCUCACUCCAGGAGAAGUACAAACAUUUGUCAGGUUUGCCUCUUCCUCCUUUAAACAGAGUCCGCCCCAUGUUGCUGAUUGGCGCCGAUUACACGCACCUCAUAACACCUGUGGAGCCAGUCAGACUGGGAUCACCUGGUGGGCCAGCAGCAGUGAAGACUCUCCUCGGUUGGACACUACAGGGACCAGCACAAGCCAUGGAAUCCAUCACGAAUGUGAGUCACUGUCUCUUCACGUCUACAUCAUCACCCACAGAGCUGUUCUCCUGUGUAGAGAAGUUAUGGCAGAUGGAUGUGCUCCCUUACCGCAGUGAGAAGUUAGCAGUUAGGUCACGACAAGAUCACGAAGCAGUCGGGCUCCUGCAAAAACAGACUGUGAGAGUCAAUGUCAGUGGUGUUGAGCGUUAUGCCACACCCCUUCUUCGAAUCAAGAACAUGCCUCUACUGAACUCCACACCAGAAGCAGUGUUGCCUCUCCUGAGAAGCACAGAGAAGCGCCUAGCCAAGUCGCCAGAACAAGCUGCUGCUUAUCAGAUGGAGAUUGAGAAGCUUGUAGAAUCUGGAUAUGUAGUGAAGUUGGUGGACCAUCAGUCUGACACCAUUGGUGAAGCUUGGUAUAUACCCCAUCACAUGGUUCAACAUAAUGGGAAGAACCGGGUGGUGUACAACUGUUCAUUCCAACAUCAAGGUUACAACCUAAAUCAACUCCUCUUACCAGGUCCCACUCUCGGCCCUGCCUUGCUAGCGGUGCUCCUACGUUUCAGGGAACAUGCUGUGGCCUUCAGCAGCGAUAUUCGUGGCAUGUUCCACCAAGUGAGGCUCCUACCGGCAGAUCGACCCCUGCUUCGGUUUCUGUGGCGGGACAUGAACCGAGACAAGCCCCCUGAUGUCUACGAGUGGCAAGUACUUCCAUUUGGAACUACUUGCAGCCCUUGUUGCGCAACGUUCGCGUUGCAGAAACACGUCAUAGACCACAGCCAACCAGAAGAAGAUGUUCGUGUUGCCAUUAACAAGUCCUUCUACGUGGACAACUGCUUACAGAGUCUCACAUGUCCAAUAGCCGCCAAGACACUCAUUAACAAACUGCGCCACCUUCUGGCCGAUGGGGGAUUCGAGUUGAGGCAGUGGGCCAGUAAUAAUCCAGAUGUUAUCUGCCAUCUUCCUCCAGACCUCAGGUCAUCCAGUUGUGAGCUGUGGCUCAGUCAAGGUCAGUCCGACAUCCAAGAGCCAGCCCUUGGGCUACACUGGAACUGUAAGUCUGACACCCUCACUUACAAACACAGACGAAUCGAUUGCUCAGUGGCUACUAUGAGGAACAUCUAUAGAGUUUUAGCUAGCCAGUAUGAUCCUCUUGGCUACAUAGUGCCUUAUACUACCCGAGCCAAAGUUAUUGUACGCCACCUGUGGGAGAAGCAGAGGGAUUGGGAUGACCCACAACUCCCUGAGGAGCUGCUGCAGAAGUGGCAUGCAUGGGAAGCAGAGCUGGAACAGUUGCACAAGAUCACACUGCCUAGGUGCUACACUAGUCACAGAUUAGACCAGCCCAACUGUAUGAGAGAUAUCCAUGUAUUCUGUGAUGCCUCUGAACAGGCAUAUGGAUCAGUGGCUUAUCUCAGAACAGAGAGUCCAGAAGGAGAAGUCGAGGUUGCCUUCCUUGCAGCUCGAUCUCGUGUUGCUCCAAAGAAGCAGCAAUCUGUUCCUCGGUUAGAGUUGUGUGCCGCUCUAACAGGUGCUCAGCUCUGCAAAGUCGUCAGCUCUGAGUUAACUCUUCCCAUACGCAGCUGUACCUUGUGGUCUGACUCAGCCACAGUCCUAACCUGGUUGGGUUCAGACUCCUGCAGAUACAAGGUUUUUGUGGGCACUCGUGUGGCAGAAAUACAAGAUAUGACGGAAGCUUCCACGUGGAGAUAUGUGCCCUCAAGAGACAACCCAGCAGAUGAUAUUACUCGUGGCCUCACUAUCCAAGACAUCUGCAAAGGCAGUAGAUGGACCGAUGGACCUGAAUUCCUGAAACUAGCUCCAGGUUACUGGCCUGACCUAUCACCUCCACCCCAGAGUAAUCCUGAAGGUGAGCUGAAACGACAAGCUGUUUGUCUAACUGUGUCCAGCUCCAGUGUUCCAGAUCCACGCCAGCACCAAACUUGGGACAGCUACUUGGAGGCCAUCGUACAUCACCUUCACGGGGCGGCUGACCCCAACCACCCUAUCACUGCUGAUUCCUAUGCUGCUGCUGAGAUGGAAGCUCUACAACGAGCCCAAAGGGAAUCAUUCUUGGAGGAAAUCACCCUGCUAAUGGCCGGUAAACCUAUUGCCAAAUCUAGUUGUCUUCUUUUACUUGCACCUGAGUUUGAUGAAAAAACAGGGCUCAUCAGAGUAGGAGGCCGUCUACGCCGGAAUCCUGACCUGGCUGUAGAUGAAGUUCACCCUAUUGUUCUGGACCCCAGACACGCUCUGACCCAACUCAUCAUACAAGAUUAUGAUAGGAAGCUUCAACAUCCUGGGCCAGAAAGGGUGUUCGCUGAGAUCAGAAGGAGAUAUUGGGUGCUACGUGGACGUGAAGCAGUACGCCGCCAUCAGAGAUUCUGCGCUGAGUGCAAGAGGUGGAAAGGUCAACCUAACCCACCCCGGAUGGCGGAUCUCCCUCCAGCCAGACUGCGUCUAUUCAAGCCGGCAUUUUAUUCCACGGGGGUGGAUUGUUUUGGGCCAUACACCAUCAAGAUCCGACGCAGUCAUGAGAAAAGGUGGGGAAUAUUGUUUAAAUGUCUAACUACAAGAGCAGUGCACCUUGAUUUGAUCCCGAGUAUGGACACAGAUGCUUUCUUAAUGGCUCUGAGACGCUUUGUAGCCAGGCGUGGGAAACCCAAGGAGAUCCUCUGUGACCAGGGGACAAACUUCAGAGGAGGAGAACGUGAGCUGCAGGAAGCAUUUCAAGCUCUUCACCCUGACCUCAAAGAGCAGCUAGCUUGCCAGCAAAUCAAGUUCAUUUUCAAUCCCCCUGGUUCCCCACACUUUGGAGGUUGCUGGGAGCGUGAAAUUCGCUCGCUAAAGACUGCUCUUCAAGUCAUCAUUGGAGCCCAAAUCGUCACUGAAGAGGUGCUGCACACCGUUCUGAUCGAAAUCGAGGGGAUGCUUAAUUCAAAACCCCUAGGUUACAUCUCAUCCGAAGUAGCAGAUCCUGACCCAGUGACCCCUAACUAUCUCAUCAUGGGACGGCGGGAUGCUUCGCUGCCGCAAGUCAUCUAUGACAGCCCGGAGAUUCUUGGGAGGAGAAGAUGGAGGCACAGCCAGAUUUUAGCCGACCAUUUCUGGCAGAACUUUCUGAAGUACUACCUGCCAGGACUCCAAGCCCGCCAGAAGUGGCAGACUGAAUCAGCAAAUCUACAAGUAGGAGAUGUGGUUAUGAUCGUGGACAACCAGUUUCCGCGAGCCCUCUGGCCUGUGGGUAAAGUCUCUCAAGUUUUUCCUGGACCAGACACCCGGAUCAGAUCUGCUGAAGUGACUGUAAAGGGACGAACUUACAUUCGACCCGUGGCAAGGCUUGUCAGCCUACCUGCCCUGCCUAAUGAUGAUUAAUCACCUCCUUUUAUUCAGCCUUUUUCUUGAUAUUCGUAUUCACAGGUGAAUACAGGGGCGGCUGUGGAAAAGGCUGUGUAACAAACUGCCAUGCUGAGCCUUUAAGGGGCGGGGCUUAGAGCAGCUGCAGCAUGCAGACGAAGAAAGAGAAAAAAAAGAGUAGAGUGAAAGAGAGUAUAGUUUAUGUUCGCAUUUUGUUUAUUUUAACUUGCUGUUUGCCGUUUAUUGUUACUCCUUGAUGUGUGUGCGUGGAAAUACAAGAACCACACACAAUUACCUAAAUAAACCGCAAGUACGAGUUGAAUCACCUGGAGUACGACUCUGCGUUCUUUGGAGUUCUGACCGACUCACCACAGUGUUCUGCAUAGUCACACCAGCAAAAACAACCCCU
This is an RNA transcript of Xiphophorus maculatus (southern platyfish), 6594 nucleotides long. RefSeq lists it as uncharacterized. The record is from RefSeq and is a predicted model, not a curated record. The transcript is spliced from 2 exons. NCBI's taxonomy places the organism in Eukaryota, Metazoa, Chordata, Actinopteri, Cyprinodontiformes, Poeciliidae.